AGGUGCUGCAUGGCUGUCGUCAGCUCGUGUUGUGAAAUGUUGGGUUAAGUCCCGCAACGAGCGCAACCCUUAUCCUUUGUUGCCAGCGAUUCGGUCGGGAACUCAAAGGAGACUGCCGGUGAUAAACCGGAGGAAGGUGGGGAUGACGUCAAGUCAUCAUGGCCCUUACGAGUAGGGCUACACACGUGCUACAAUGGCGCAUACAAAGAGAAGCGACCUCGCGAGAGCAAGCGGACCUCACAAAGUGCGUCGUAGUCCGGAUCGGAGUCUGCAACUCGACUCCGUGAAGUCGGAAUCGCUAGUAAUCGUGGAUCAGAAUGCCACGGUGAAUACGUUCCCGGGUCUUG
RNAcentral lists this ribosomal RNA (347 nucleotides) under uncultured bacterium. Its description in RNAcentral is "bacterial SSU rRNA". It matches the Rfam family "Bacterial small subunit ribosomal RNA", at positions 1036 to 1383 of the family's 1533-position model. The record is from RNAcentral.